Molecule: RNase P RNA, 394 nt
Filed under: Cyclobacteriaceae bacterium
Lineage: Bacteria; Pseudomonadati; Bacteroidota; Cytophagia; Cytophagales; Cyclobacteriaceae
Description: RNase P RNA component class A
Rfam family: Bacterial RNase P class A
About the family: Ribonuclease P (RNase P) is a ubiquitous endoribonuclease, found in archaea, bacteria and eukarya as well as chloroplasts and mitochondria. Its best characterised activity is the generation of mature 5'-ends of tRNAs by cleaving the 5'-leader elements of precursor-tRNAs. Cellular RNase Ps are ribonucleoproteins.
Source: RNAcentral
CCUGUGCACCGCUUCGUCGCUUCCCGCCUUCGGGCGGGGGGAGGAAAGUCCGGGCAGCAUAGCGUGCCGUGCUUCCUAACGGGAAGGGGCGUCCCUGGGAACGGGGCCGUCACGGAAAGUGCCGCAGAAAGGGAAACUACCCGUCGCAAGACGGGAAAAGGUGAAAAGGUGAGGUAAGAGCUCACCAGCGCUGGUGGUGACAUCGGCGGCUUGGUAAACCCCACGGGCUGAAAGACCAUGUACACCGGGGACCGCUCUUCGGAGCGGAUAGGGUCGCGCGCCCGAAUCCCGGGGGGUGGGUCGAUCGAGGUCCGUCGUGAGGUGGAUCCCAGAUAAAUGACGGAGGCCCCGCGCAAGCGGGGAACAGGACCCGGCUUACAGGUGCACAGGACCU